This 250-nucleotide ribosomal RNA is filed under the name uncultured bacterium. Its description in RNAcentral is "partial 16S ribosomal RNA". It matches the Rfam family "Bacterial small subunit ribosomal RNA", at positions 30 to 284 of the family's 1533-position model. The record is from RNAcentral.
AUUGAACGCUGGCGGUAUGCUUUACACAUGCAAGUCGAACGGUAGAGGGGCAACCCUUGAGAGUGGCGAACGGGUGAGUAAUACAUCGGAACGUGCCCAGUCGUGGGGGAUAACGUAGCGAAAGCUACGCUAAUACCGCAUACGACCUGAGGGUGAAAGCGGGGGACCUGCAAGGGCCUCGCGCGAUUGGAGCGGCCGAUGGCAGAUUAGGUAGUUGGUGGGGUAAAGGCCUACCAAGCCGACGAUCUGU